UACAGAGGUCUCAAGCGUUGUUCGGAUUCAUUGGGCGUAAAGGGUGCGUAGGUGGCGCCUAAGUCAGGUGUGAAAUCUCGGGGCUCAACCUCGAAACUGCACUUGAUACUGUGGUGCUUGAGUACUGGAGAGGAGAUUGGAAUUUUACGGUGUAGCAGUGAAAAUGCGUAGAUAUCGUAGGGAAGACCAGUGGCGAAAGGCGAAUCUCU
Molecule: ribosomal RNA, 209 nt
Filed under: uncultured bacterium
Lineage: Bacteria
Description: partial 16S ribosomal RNA
Rfam family: Bacterial small subunit ribosomal RNA
Source: RNAcentral